GACGAAGGGGGCUAGCGUUGUUCGGAAUUACUGGGCGUAAAGCGCGUGUAGGCGGACCAGCAAGUCGGACGUGAAAUCCCUGAGCUCAACUCAGGAACUGCAUCCGAAACUGCUGGUCUGGAGUGGUGGAGAGGUAAGCGGAAUUCCUGGUGUAGCGGUGAAAUGCGUAGAUAUCAGGAGGAACACCUGUGGUGUAGACAGCUUACUGGACCAUUUCUGACGCUGAGACACGAAAGCGUGGGUAGCAAACAGG
RNAcentral lists this ribosomal RNA (253 nucleotides) under uncultured bacterium. Its description in RNAcentral is "partial 16S ribosomal RNA". It matches the Rfam family "Bacterial small subunit ribosomal RNA", at positions 524 to 776 of the family's 1533-position model. The record is from RNAcentral.